UGCGAGUCAUUGUAGUAAUACAAGGCAGACGGCUCAGUAACGCGUAGUCAACCUAACCUAUGGACGGGAAUAACCUCGGGAAACUGAGUAUAAUGCCCGAUAGAACAUUAUACCUGGAAUGGUUUAUGUUCCAAAUGAUUUAUCGCCGUAGGAUGGGACUGCGGCCUAUCAGUUUGUUGGUGAGGUAAUGGCCCACCAAGACUAUUACAGGUACGGGCUCUGAGAGGAGUAGCCCGGAGAUGGGUACUGAGACACGGACCCAGGCCCUAUGGGGCGCAGCAGGCGAGAAAACUUUGCAAUGUGCGAAAGCACGACAAGGUUAAUCCGAGUGGUUUCUGCUAAAGGAACCUUUUGUCGGUCCUAGAAACACCGAUGAAUAAGGGGUGGGCAAGUUCUGGUGUCAGCCGCCGCGGUAAAACCAGCACCUCAAGUGGUCAGGAUGAUUAUUGGGCCUAAAGCAUCCGUAGCCGGCUUUGUUAGUUUUCGGUUAAAUCUGUACGCUCAACGUACAGGCUGCCGGGAAUACUGCAGAGCUAGGGAGUGGGAGAGGUAGACGGUACUCGGUAGGAAGGGGUAAAAUCCUUUGAUCUAUUGAUGACCACCUGUGGCGAAGGCGGUCUACCAGAACACGUCCGACGGUGAGGGAUGAAAGCUGGGGGAGCAAACCGGAUUAGAUACCCGGGUAGUCCCAGCUGUAAACUAUGCAAACUCAGUGAUGCAUUGGCUUGUGGCCAAUGCAGUGCUGCAGGGAAGCCGUUAAGUUUGCCGCCUGGGAAGUACGUACGCAAGUAUGAAACUCAAAUGAAUUGA
Molecule: ribosomal RNA, 810 nt
Filed under: uncultured crenarchaeote
Lineage: Archaea; Thermoproteati; Thermoproteota
Description: bacterial SSU rRNA
Rfam family: Archaeal small subunit ribosomal RNA
Source: RNAcentral